AAACGAGUCAAGCAUAGAAGAAAAGCGUAGCUCGGAUGCAAGGACUAAUUAGCAAAUCGGAUAGUUGCGUCAUCAUUGAUGGUGUGAUAAUAAAAGCGAGGCAUAAAUCGGGUCUAUUCGUUGAUCCGAGCCAGGUACUUUUGGAUGCCGGAAGACGAUCAAGCUCAGU
Helianthus annuus (common sunflower) is the source of this 169-nucleotide long non-coding RNA. RefSeq lists it as uncharacterized. The transcript is spliced from 3 exons. Lineage: Eukaryota; Viridiplantae; Streptophyta; Magnoliopsida; Asterales; Asteraceae. The record is from RefSeq and is a predicted model, not a curated record.